UGCUCCUUUGACGUUAGCGGCGGACGGGUGAGUAACACGUGGAUAACCUACCUAUAAGACUGGGAUAACUUCGGGAAACCGGAGCUAAUACCGGAUAAGAUUUUGAACCGCAUGGUUCAAUAGUGAAAGACGGCCUUGCUGUCACUUAUAGAUGGAUCCGCGCCGUAUUAGCUAGUUGGUAAGGUAACGGCUUACCAAGGCAACGAUACGUAGCCGACCUGAGAGGGUGAUCGGCCACACUGGAACUGAGACACGGUCCAGACUCCUACGGGAGGCAGCAGUAGGGAAUCUUCCGCAAUGGGCGAAAGCCUGACGGAGCAACGCCGCGUGAGUGAUGAAGGUCUUCGGAUCGUAAAACUCUGUUAUCAGGGAAGAACAAACGUGUAAGUAACUGUGCACGUCUUGACGGUACCUGAUCAGAAAGCCACGGCUAACUACGUGCCAGCAGCCGCGGUAAUACGUAGGUGGCAAGCGUUAUCCGGAAUUAUUGGGCGUAAAGCGCGCGUAGGCGGUUUUUUAAGUCUGAUGUGAAAGCCCACGGCUCAACCGUGGAGGGUCAUUGGAAACUGGAAAACUUGAGUGCAGAAGAGGAAAGUGGAAUUCCAUGUGUAGCGGUGAAAUGCGCAGAGAUAUGGAGGAACACCAGUGGCGAAGGCGACUUUCUGGUCUGUAACUGACGCUGAUGUGCGAAAGCGUGGGGAUCAAACAGGAUUAGAUACCCUGGUAGUCCACGCCGUANACGAUGAGUGCUAAGUGUUAGGGGGUUUCCGCCCCUUU
This 777-nucleotide ribosomal RNA is filed under the name Staphylococcus pasteuri. RNAcentral describes it as "bacterial SSU rRNA". It matches the Rfam family "Bacterial small subunit ribosomal RNA", at positions 79 to 842 of the family's 1533-position model. Lineage: Bacteria; Bacillati; Bacillota; Bacilli; Caryophanales; Staphylococcaceae. The record is from RNAcentral.